Molecule: ribosomal RNA, 265 nt
Filed under: uncultured bacterium
Lineage: Bacteria
Description: partial 16S ribosomal RNA
Rfam family: Bacterial small subunit ribosomal RNA
Source: RNAcentral
CGGAACGGGUGAGUAAUACAUAAGUAACCUGCCCUAGACAGGGGGAGUAACUAUUGGAAACGAUAGCUAAGACCGCAUAGGUACGGACACUGCAUGGUGACCGUAUUAAAAGUGCCUCAAAGCACUGGUAGAGGAUGGACUUACGGCGCAUUAGCUGGUUGGCGGGGUAACGGCCCACCAAGGCGACGAUGCGUAGCCGACCUGAGAGGGUGACCGGCCACACUGGGACUGAGACACGGCCCAGACUCCUACGGGAGGCAGCAUG